CACAUGCAAGUCGGACGGUAGCAGGUAAGUACUUGUACUUAUGCUGACGAGUGGCGGACGGGUGAGUAAUGCUUGGGAAUCUGUCUUAUGGAGGGGGAUAACGACGGGAAACUGUCGCUAAUACCGCGUAGAAUCGGGAGAUGAAAGUGUGGGACCUUCGGGCCACAUGCCAUAGGAUGAGCCCAAGUGUGAUUAGGUAGUUGGUGGGGUAAAGGCCUACCAAGCCGACGAUCGCUAGCUGGUCUGAGAGGAUGGCCAGCCACACCGGGACUGAGACACGGCCCGGACUCCUACGGGAGGCAGCAGUGGGGAAUAUUGCGCAAUGGGGGCAACCCUGACGCAGCCAUGCCGCGUGAAUGAAGAAGGCCUUCGGGUUGUAAAGUUCUUUCGGUGAUGAGGAAGGUUGG
This 407-nucleotide ribosomal RNA is filed under the name Aggregatibacter actinomycetemcomitans. RNAcentral's name for it is "bacterial SSU rRNA". It matches the Rfam family "Bacterial small subunit ribosomal RNA", at positions 52 to 455 of the family's 1533-position model. The record is from RNAcentral. Lineage: Bacteria; Pseudomonadati; Pseudomonadota; Gammaproteobacteria; Pasteurellales; Pasteurellaceae.